AUUGAACGCUGGCGGAAUGCUUUACACAUGCAAGUCGAGCGGCAGCGCGGGGCAACCUGGCGGCGAGCGGCGAACGGGUGAGUAAUGCAUCGGAACAUGUCCAUGUCGUGGGGGAUAGCCCGGCGAAAGCCGGAUUAAUACCGCAUACGCCCGAGAGGGGAAAGCAGGGACCGGCAAAGGCCUUGCGCGAUUGGUUGGCCGAUGUCCGAUUAGCUUGUUGGUGAGGUAAAGGCUUACCAAGGCGAUGAUCGGUAGCUGGUCUGAGAGGAUGAUCAGCCACACUGGGACUGAGACACGGCCCAGACUCCUAC
This 311-nucleotide ribosomal RNA is filed under the name uncultured bacterium. Its description in RNAcentral is "bacterial SSU rRNA". It matches the Rfam family "Bacterial small subunit ribosomal RNA", at positions 30 to 342 of the family's 1533-position model. The record is from RNAcentral.